This 498-nucleotide long non-coding RNA is filed under the name Musa acuminata (dwarf banana). Its description in RNAcentral is "long non-coding RNA (MACU_LNC011577)". Lineage: Eukaryota; Viridiplantae; Streptophyta; Magnoliopsida; Zingiberales; Musaceae. The record is from RNAcentral.
AAGAGAGCCAUCGACAUAGCCUAGAAGAUCAUAGCCAAAUAGUAUAUUAGAGAAUUGAGCACGCCAUGAUGCGUAGUUACCACCGUUGGAUAAUUUGAAGGGGAUGAGGGUUGCUGCAUUUAUGGAGAUAAGGUUUGUAUGUGGGAAGAUACUAUGGUUCCCUGCGGGAACAGUAAUGGGAGCAUCAGAGGUAGAUGAUGAUGACAUAUGGAAGAUAUGAUCAGGGAGAAAGAAGUGUUGGUAUAGAUCAAUGUCACCUGAGGUGGUGGCAAAUAAGAUCUGUGAAAGAAUAAGGUCUUCGUUGAAGGAAAAGACCUAUGCAAGAUGGUGUAAAGCUGUAGAUUUCUAUGCAGCAAUUCUACAAGAGGGACUCUGGGCAGUGAUGCAGCCAGUGGCGUGAUCAGCUUUGUGCAAGACAACUGCAGAUCUAUGUGCAAUAGAUCAGCAGUGAGGAAUCUUGGCAACGAGGCAGCAGCAUGGAAAGUUACCGAAGGCUGC